AGCGCAGGAAGCCGCUGAAACUAAACGUCUCCCCGCCACUGCAGGUUGCGCUCCGUCUGUGGGGUCCUGACCAGGCAUGGAAUCGAAAGCACUGCUUAGCAUUCUGUUCUCCAUUUAAGAAUUCUACAGGAUAGUUGAUUUCACAGAGCAGUGCAUUGUUGGACAUCUGAGGAUAGAUACACAGUUAGAGAUAUAUAUCAAGGAUCAGUUUCUGAGAAUACACGAUUGUGGAUAGCAUCAUGAACCCAUAUUCAGCAAUACUUUCACAGCUUCCUAACAGUUCUUUCUUUAUGAAAAUAAAUCUUCAGGCAAUAAAUUUCCCUGUGUCACUCCAUGCUUCUAUUGCUAUGGAAAUA
This is a long non-coding RNA of Hyla sarda, 356 nucleotides long. RefSeq lists it as uncharacterized. The record is from RefSeq and is a predicted model, not a curated record. Lineage: Eukaryota; Metazoa; Chordata; Amphibia; Anura; Hylidae. The transcript has 3 exons.